Molecule: long non-coding RNA, 210 nt
Filed under: Actinidia chinensis (golden kiwifruit)
Lineage: Eukaryota; Viridiplantae; Streptophyta; Magnoliopsida; Ericales; Actinidiaceae
Description: long non-coding RNA (ACHI_LNC005760)
Source: RNAcentral
AGACCAAAUGGAAAAUCAAACCAAAGAACAAAUCGAGUUGGAGUCGAAUGUGGAGAGAGAAUGUUCAGAGAGGCUCAAAAUAACUUCAUUGCAAUAUAUUACAAUAAUUUUUUUGAUGAGAAAUAAAUUAAUUUAGAAUUUUGUUUGAAAAUAAAAGUAAAAAAACUCGAUUUUCAUUGAAUCAUAUUUGCUAUUGUUUAAAAUUGGCUC